RNAcentral lists this transfer RNA (68 nucleotides) under Muscidifurax raptorellus. RNAcentral's name for it is "tRNA-Gly". The record is from RNAcentral. Lineage: Eukaryota; Metazoa; Arthropoda; Insecta; Hymenoptera; Pteromalidae.
AUUUAUAUAUUAUAAUAAGUAAAAUUAAUUUCCAAUUAAUUAGUCUAUAAAUAAAUAUAGUAUAAAUA